GCAUAUCAAUAAGCGGAGGAAAAGAAACCAACAGGGAUUGCCCUAGUAACGGCGAGUGAAGCGGCAACAGCUCAAAUUUGAAAUCUGGCCUUCGGGUCCGAGUUGUAAUUUGUAGAGGAUGCUUUUGGUGAGGUGCCUUCCGAGUUCCCUGGAACGGGACGCCAUAGAGGGUGAGAGCCCCGUCUGGUUGGACACCGAUCCUCUGUAAAGCUCCUUCGACGAGUCGAGUAGUUUGGGAAUGCUGCUCUAAAUGGGAGGUAUAUGUCUUCUAAAGCUAAAUAUUGGCCAGAGACCGAUAGCGCACAAGUAGAGUGAUCGAAAGAUGAAAAGCACUUUGAAAAGAGAGUUAAAAAGUACGUGAAAUUGUUGAAAGGGAAGCGCUCAUGACCAGACUUGGGCUUGGUUGAUCAUCCAGGGUUCUCCCUGGUGCACUCUUCCAGUUCAGGCCAGCAUCAGUUCGCUGUGGGGGAUAAAGGCUUUGGGAAUGUGGCUCCCUCGGGAGUGUUAUAGCCCAUUGUGUAAUACCCUGUGGUGGACUGAGGUUCGCGCAUUCGCAAGGAUGCUGGCGUAAUGGUCAUCAGCGACCCGUCUUGAAACACGGACCAAGGAGUCGUCUUCGUAUGCGAGUGUUCGGGUGUUAAACCCCUACGCGUAAUGAAAGUGAACGCAGGUGAGAGCUUCGGCGCAUCAUCGACCGAUCCUGAUGUUCUCGGAUGGAUUUGAGUAAGAGCAUACGGGGCCGGACCCGAAAGAAGGUGAACUAUGCCUGUAUAGGGUGAAGCCAGAGGAAACUCUGGUGGAGGCUCGCAGCGGUUCUGACGUGCAAAUCGAUCGUCAAAUAUGGGCAUGGGGGGCGAAAGACUAAUCGAACCUUCUAGUAGCUGGUUUCCGCG
This 893-nucleotide ribosomal RNA is filed under the name Dactylonectria macrodidyma. RNAcentral's name for it is "LSU rRNA". It matches the Rfam family "Eukaryotic large subunit ribosomal RNA", at positions 38 to 962 of the family's 3401-position model. Lineage: Eukaryota; Fungi; Ascomycota; Sordariomycetes; Hypocreales; Nectriaceae. The record is from RNAcentral.